GAUUUGGAGCUCAGUUGGUUAGAGUGUGGCACUGAUAAUGCCAAGGUCGCAGGUUUGAUCCCCGUAAAGGAUA
Podarcis lilfordi (Lilford's wall lizard) is the source of this 73-nucleotide non-coding RNA. NCBI's taxonomy places the organism in Eukaryota, Metazoa, Chordata, Lepidosauria, Squamata, Lacertidae. The record is from the annotation of a GenBank genome assembly.